UUUCGAUAGUGGAGGUGAAAUUCUCUUCUGGAUGUUUUGGUAACCUCACUGGAGGAGGUGAAUGACUAUGGAAAGACCAUGGCGACCCGCUUUUACAGUCGGCAACAGGAAGAUGCGAUGGUCACCAGAGCUACUGCAGUCGAUAAUUCUAUAAGAAGGGAUGGCAUCAAUGUCUAGCUUUCGGGGCUUGUUUUAAGUUGCCUGCGAUCUGUAUAUGGACUCAGGCAGCUAAAGCAAGUCUGGGAAGCUGGAGACCGAACACCUGGGGACAAAGCCAAUCUAUCAAGUCGCGAGCAUGCAGUGAUAGGCCUAUCUCAUCUGGACGGAAACCUCGUCAGGAUUGAAGGACCAGAGUUGGAAGAAAACAAACUCUAUUAGUGGGCUACGUAUGACCAGGAAAACCUUUCAGGAAGUAGCCUAAACUUUUGCCACACAUAAUUGAAGUGUGUAAAUCCAGUUGACAUGCAACGGAUUUGACGCAAAAAUGUGAUAAAAAGUAAUAAGAAAUCUUCGUAAUAAAAAUGUUAUAUAAGGCA
This is a long non-coding RNA of Alosa alosa (allis shad), 536 nucleotides long. RefSeq lists it as uncharacterized. NCBI's taxonomy places the organism in Eukaryota, Metazoa, Chordata, Actinopteri, Clupeiformes, Clupeidae. The transcript is spliced from 2 exons. The record is from RefSeq and is a predicted model, not a curated record.